GUGCUCACUUCGGUAGCACAUAUACUAAAAUUGGAGCUAUUAGAGAAGAUUAGCUUGGCUUCCAUGCAAGGAUGAUCUGCAAACUCAUGAAAUGUUCACAUUAAAA
Suncus etruscus (white-toothed pygmy shrew) is the source of this 106-nucleotide small nuclear RNA. The record is from RefSeq and is a predicted model, not a curated record. NCBI's taxonomy places the organism in Eukaryota, Metazoa, Chordata, Mammalia, Eulipotyphla, Soricidae.